GAUCAUGGCUCAGGAUGAACGCUAGCUACAGGCUUAACACAUGCAAGUCGAGGGAAACGAUAGAGAAAGCUUGCUUUUUCUAGGCGUCGACCGGCGCACGGGUGAGUAACGCGUAUCCAACCUGCCCACCACUUGGGGAUAACCUUGCGAAAGUAAGACUAAUACCCAAUGACGUCUCUAGAAGACAUCUGAAAGAGAUUAAAGAUUUAUCGGUGAUGGAUGGGGAUGCGUCUGAUUAGCUUGUUGGCGGGGUAACGGCCCACCAAGGCGACGAUCAGUAAGGGUUCUGAGAGGAAGGUCCCCCACAUUGGAACUGAGACACGGUCCAAACUCCUACGGGAGGCAGCAGUGAGGAAUAUUGGUCAAUGGACGAGAGUCUGAACCAGCCAAGUAGCGUGCAGGAUGACGGCCCUAUGGGUUGUAAACUGCUUUUAUAAGGGAAUAAAGUGAGUCUCGUGAGGCUUUUUGCAUGUACCUUAUGAAUAAGGACCGGCUAAUUCCGUG
This 504-nucleotide ribosomal RNA is filed under the name uncultured bacterium. RNAcentral's name for it is "bacterial SSU rRNA". It matches the Rfam family "Bacterial small subunit ribosomal RNA", at positions 15 to 507 of the family's 1533-position model. The record is from RNAcentral.